Non-coding RNA from Xyrichtys novacula (pearly razorfish), 687 nucleotides. The record is from the annotation of a GenBank genome assembly. Lineage: Eukaryota; Metazoa; Chordata; Actinopteri; Labriformes; Labridae.
GUAGCAACGCGCCCACAGGAGCUGAUGCGCCCAGACCGUUAGCUCUUGGCUAAUGACUUCGGCAGGAGACAAAACACUCCACAACUCGGCUAAUUGGCACACUUGAUGGCACACUUCUCACUGGUGAGUACUUGUUUUUGUUAUUGUAACAUGGCUGUAACGUAUUUUUUGGCUUUUCUACGUUCAGAAUGUUCUCAAACUUAGUUGCAUGUUGGGGGGAAAAAAUCAGUCCAAAUCCAUCAAUGGCACUGAAUGAGUUAAGAGUCCACGAUCCCAUAUAAAAUGGGUCCUUUUCUUUCUUUUUAAACUGGAUUUAAUACUGCGAGGAAGUUUUGGUUAGGUUGACCCAUAUAUUUUAAACUAAGGGAGCUUCACUAGAAGCUAGCAGUAUUGUUUUUGACAUCCUAACUCACCAGAUUUGUUCAAAGAGGGAAAAAGGUGUUUAUGUGGUUUAAUUGAGCAUUGCGAACUUUUAUUCCCUUCAUGUGUGGCCUCAGCAAAGUGUUUCUGUCCCUCCAGCACGGCCUUGACACGUGGUAAAGACACUGGUCCGACUAAGAGGGAGAGAGCAUUACCACGUUGGUCAGAGAUGAUCGCAUGGCAAAAUGAUAAAUAGCAGCCGGUGAACUGGCUUACCAGCACGGGAGACUUAUCUGUUCAAAGUGAAAAGGCUAUCCACUCCUUCAG